RNAcentral lists this ribosomal RNA (597 nucleotides) under Escherichia coli. RNAcentral describes it as "partial 23S ribosomal RNA". It matches the Rfam family "Bacterial large subunit ribosomal RNA", at positions 660 to 1253 of the family's 2925-position model. The record is from RNAcentral. Lineage: Bacteria; Pseudomonadati; Pseudomonadota; Gammaproteobacteria; Enterobacterales; Enterobacteriaceae.
GGGGAGCCGAAGGGAAACCGAGUCUUAACUGGGCGUUAAGUUGCAGGGUAUAGACCCGAAACCCGGUGAUCUAGCCAUGGGCAGGUUGAAGGUUGGGUAACACUAACUGGAGGACCGAACCGACUAAUGUUGAAAAAUUAGCGGAUGACUUGUGGCUGGGGGUGAAAGGCCAAUCAAACCGGGAGAUAGCUGGUUCUCCCCGAAAGCUAUUUAGGUAGCGCCUCGUGAAUUCAUCUCCGGGGGUAGAGCACUGUUUCGGCAAGGGGGUCAUCCCGACUUACCAACCCGAUGCAAACUGCGAAUACCGGAGAAUGUUAUCACGGGAGACACACGGCGGGUGCUAACGUCCGUCGUGAAGAGGGAAACAACCCAGACCGCCAGCUAAGGUCCCAAAGUCAUGGUUAAGUGGGAAACGAUGUGGGAAGGCCCAGACAGCCAGGAUGUUGGCUUAGAAGCAGCCAUCAUUUAAAGAAAGCGUAAUAGCUCACUGGUCGAGUCGGCCUGCGCGGAAGAUGUAACGGGGCUAAACCAUGCACCGAAGCUGCGGCAGCGACGCUGAUGCGUUGUUGGGUAGGGGAGCGUUCUGUAAGCCUGUGA